This 317-nucleotide ribosomal RNA is filed under the name uncultured bacterium. Its description in RNAcentral is "bacterial SSU rRNA". It matches the Rfam family "Bacterial small subunit ribosomal RNA", at positions 368 to 684 of the family's 1533-position model. The record is from RNAcentral.
UCAAUGGGAGAAAUCCUGAAGCAGCAACGCCGCGUGGAGGUUGAAGGGUCUAUGACUUGUAAACUCCUGUAAAGAAGGAAAAAAUUCCCAUUUGAUGGGAAAUGAUGGUACUUCUGGAGUAAGCCCCGGCUAACUACGUGCCAGCAGCCGCGGUAAUUCGUAGGGGGCAAGCGUUGUCCGGAUUUACUGGGUGUAAAGGGUGCUCAGGCGGAUUUGUAAGUCAGAGGUGAAAUCUUACAGCUUAACUGUGAAACUGCCUUUGAUACUGCAAGCCUAGAGUAUGGAAGAGAGUGAUGGAAUAUCUAGUGUAGCAGUGA